Non-coding RNA from Nicotiana tabacum (common tobacco), 5504 nucleotides. NCBI's taxonomy places the organism in Eukaryota, Viridiplantae, Streptophyta, Magnoliopsida, Solanales, Solanaceae. The record is from RefSeq and is a predicted model, not a curated record.
UCUUUCAAAAAUGCUUCCCACGGAGUAUUCAAACGUUCAAAAAAUCGCUCGUAUCCGCUCACUUUAUCUUUUCACGAACCCAAACCCAAUCUCCCCACCCAAAUACCCAUUACCCUUUACCCUACCCCUACAUACAUAUAAAACAUAAUUAGAAAAACAAAAAAGGAGAGUGACAAAAUCCAUCAGAUCCAACCCCUAAAGAAACGGCACACCCUAAGUCGUCUUCUUCAGCUUUGUUUGCGAAAAACACCAACUAGCCGUGAUACCCUCUCCUUGAUUCUCUCAUCUCGCUUUCAUCCUCCUCAUCUCCCCAUCGGCACACACGAAACAACUGAAAAAUGGUUUUCUAUUGCUUCUUUGAAUCUUACAAAACAGAUCUGAGAAGGAAAUGAGCUUCCAAAAUUCGGUUUUGUAAAGGAAAUUGCUACUGUUUCUGCGGGACUGUGUUACUUCCGAGAUUGCUGGGUGUCAUCGCUCAAUUAUUCGGCAGUUGUGGCUUAUUUCAAGCUCUAUUUUGAAGCUUUCACUUGGGAAUUAAUUUUGUAUUGAAUCAAACAAUGGAAAAGGCUUCAUCCGAAUUUCUUUAAAAGGGUUUUGAAGCAAGUCCAUCAUCCACAACUCAAAAUCAAGAAACGAACAUGAUCCUUACGACAUGCAUAAGGAAGGGUGUGGAUCAAAGGGAACAAUGUUUGUAAGCGAGAACACAAGAGGUACAGAUAAAUCAACGCUUGAGCCACAUCAGUAGGACAUCCACCAGCUAUUGGAGUCACGCUGCUUACUCCGGGAGGAUUCCUCCAAAGAGAUUCACAACUGCCUUGAAGGGCAAAACCAUUGCUGGCCAGGGUUCUAGCAGAGUACCACCUAAGUUAGAUGAGCAUAAGGAUCCAGACAUGAGGUUCCAUCCAGAGCUUCAUGGACUAUGUUUGUUUAGGGAGAAGUUAGGUGGUGCUCCAGCUACCACACCUCCGUCUACUUCGACAUGAGGGAUGUAGUUAGAUUGUUAACUAGAAUUGUAGCUACCCAGUCCAGAUGGUAGAAUAAUGGUCCUCAGGGUGAUGAUACAAGUUCUAUGAUUCUUGAUUUCCUCAUAUUAGAGCCUCCAAUUUUCACGAGAUCUAGUACAACAGAGGAUCCCCAAAAUUUUCUAGAUAGAGUAGUUAGAGCCCUUAGAGUUAUGCAUGCCAUAUAUAGAAAGUCAGUUGAAUUGGUGGCAUAUAGAUUACAAGAUCUAGCAGCAGGUUGAUAUACCACUGGGAGAUGUCUAGGGUAGCAAAUACUGCUCCAAUUACCUGUAGGGAGUUAUUAGAGGCAUUUCUCCACCAUUACUUACCUAUAGAGACACGUAGAGCAUGAUUGGAUAAGUUCCUGACAUUGAGACAGGGGGUAUGAGUAUUGCAGAAUUGAACCUUUGCUUUAAUUCUUUGGAGAGGUUUGCUCUUGCAGUUGUAUCAGACAUGGAGGACAUGGUACACAUGUGUAGCAAGACUUGGUCCUCACUUAGUAAGUGAAUAUAUGACUGUAUCUAUGCAUUUGAGUGUGGACAUUGGACGUAUUCAGUCGAGUGUGGACAUUGCAAGUAUUCUUUUGGUGAGACAUCUGGUGCUUCUAGACAAUAUAGUUGUUACGUCGACAGCAGCUAGUACUCCUUCACGAUUUUAGGGGCCGAGAUCUAAUUGACCCUCAUAGUCUAGAGCUAGUCAGGAAUCACGUGCUUCAAGGUCCUAGUAUCGAGGUGUUUCUAGUCAGGGUGGUUCACUUUACCCUAGGUGUUUUGAUUGUGGUAGACACUAUUUGGACCGAUUUCAAUUGGGUUAAGAUGCAUGUUAUGUUUGUGGUGAGUCAGGUCAUUUUAUGAGAGAAUGCUCGUUUAGGGGUGGUAAUGGUGCAUCUCAGUCGGCAAGAUUAGUUGCAGCUUCUUCAGCACCAGCACGCUUGCAAGGGCAAGUUCCUCAGACACUAGCAGACCAUGGUAGAGGCCGAGGCGGAACUCUUACUACAGGCGGUCCCCAGAACCGCACCUACUCUCUGUUUGGUCGUCAGGACUAGGAGGCUUCACUAGAGUGGUUAUAGGUACUUUAUAAGUGAAUUCUCAGAAUGUGUAUGUAUUGUUAGAUCCUGGUUCUACACUAUCAUAUGUCACUCCCUUUCUUGCUACUAAGUUUAGGAUAGAACUAGAUGCCAUUAAACCUUUUGAGGUAGCCACCCCAGUUGGUGAUUCAAUAGUAGCUAGGCUAGUUUUUAGAGGUUUCACGGUUGUGAUUGGUGACCCUAGUACUAUAGCUGACUUUAUUAAGUUAGAAAUAGUUGACUUUGAUGUUAUACUUGGUAUGGAUUGGUUGUCUUCUUGCUAUGCUAAUGUUGACUGUAGAGCGAAGACGGUCUCGUUUAGAUUUCCUAGAAGGGUCAUUUAUAGAAUGGUGUUUCUGCAUCACUAAAAGGUAGAUUUAUUUUGUACCUUAAGGCAAGAGGGAUGAUCGCUAAGGGAUGCUUAUAUCAUGGGUUCAUGUUUGAGACAUAGAGAAGGGAAUACUGACUCUUGAAUCAGUUCCACUAGUGAAUGAGUUCCCUAACGUAUUUCCGUAUAAUCUUCCAGGUCUUUAUCCAUAGUGGGAAAUUGACUUUCCCAUCGAUAUAGUGUCGGGUAAGCAACCAAUAUCUAUUCCUCCUUACAGGAUGACACCAACAGAAUUAAAGGAACUUAAGGAGCAGUUGAAAGAUUUGUUUGAUAUGGGUUUUAUUAGACCCAAUACUUCUCCUUGGUGAGCAUCAAUAUUAUUUGCGAAAAAAAGAUGGCUCCCUACGUAUGUGCAUAGAUUACAAACAACUAAACAAGGUCAUGAUCAAGAACAAAUGUCCUCUUCCCAGAAUUGAUGACUUGUUCAACUACCUUCAGGGUGCUAAGUUCUUCUCGAAGAUAGACUUGAGAUCAGGCUACCAUUAGGUUAGAGUCAGAGAAUGUGAGAUACCUAAGACAUCAUUCAGAACCCAAUAUGGCUAUUACGAGUUUCUAGUAAUGUCGUUUGGGUUGACUAAUGUCCUAGCGGUAUUUAUGGAUCUUAUGAACAACAUGUUUAGGCCUUAUCUGGACCUAUUAGUGAUAGUGUUUAUUGAUGAUAUUCUGGUUUAUUCCAAGUCUGAAGCAUCUGCGCAUAAUGUUGGGUAUCCUCCGAGACAAGAAAUUGUAUGCCAAAUUCUUGAAGUGCAAAUUCUAGUUGAAUUCGGUAGCAUUUCUUGGACAUAUAUAUCAUCAGAGGGCAUCAAAGUAGAUGGUCAGAAGAUAGAGACAAUGAAGAAUUGGCCUAGACCUAUAACGCCAAUCGAAGUACGUAGCUUUUUGGGUUUAGCAGGGUAUUACAAGAGGUUCGUAGAAGGCUUUUCUUCCCUUGCAGCGCCAUUGACUAGAUUAACACAGAAAGCAUCCAAAUUUCAGUGGUUAGAUGAAUGUGAGAAGAGUUUGCAGGAGUUGAAGAACAGGUUGAUUACAACUCCGGUUCUUACACUUCUAGAGGGAUCUGAGGGUUAUGUUAUUUAUUGUGACGCUUCUCGAAUUGGCCUAGGUUAUGUGCUGAUACAUCACAAAAAGGUAAUUCCUUAUGCUUCUAGACAAUUGAAGAAGCACAACAGAAUUAUCCUACACAUAACUUGGAGCUAGCAGCGAUUAUUCAAGCACUGAAGAUUUGAAGGCACUCUCUCUAUGGCAUUAAUGUUGAUAUCUAUACAUAUCAUAAGAGCCUCCAGUACAUAAUUAAAUAGAAGGAGUUGAACUUGCAGCAAAGAAAGUGGUUAGAGCUUCUAAAGGACUGCGACGUUGACAUUCUUUAUCAUCCAGGUAAAGUUAGUGUUGUAGUUGAUGCUCUCAGUCAUAAGUCCAUGGGGAGUUUAGCUUGCUUUCAGCCUAAAAAAAGGGAGUUAGCUCAUAAACUCCAUCAGUUAGCCAGUUUGGGUAUUAAAUUGAUAGAUUUAGAGGAUGCAAAAGUUAUAGUUCAGAAUACGACUACCACUUGUUUAGUGACCGAAGUGAAAUAGAGGUAAUAUGAAGAUCCAGUUCUAAUUAAGUACAGUAUGGUAGCCAGGAAAAAUAAAAAGUCUCCUUACAUAGUUACUAGUAAAAGAGUCCUCAGAUAUAAAGAUAGGCUCUUUGUUCCAGACGCUGCAGGGUUACGCAUGAAAAUUAUGGUAGAGGAACAUCAUUCCAGGUACACAAUUCAUCCAGGCUCUACUAAGAUGUACCAUGAUCUUAAGCAGAUUUAUUGGUGGGGUGGAAUGAAAUGUGACAUAGUAGAGUUUGUGGCCUAGUGUCCUAGCUGCCAGCAUGCUAAGUUUGAGCACCAGAAGCCUAGCGAUUUGUUACAAGAGAUAAAGAUCCCAACAUGGAAGUGAGAAGUAGUAAAUAUGGACUUUAUUACAUGACUGCCACGUACGAGGAGCAGGUAUGAUUCUAUUUGGGUUAUAGUCAUCAGGCUUACUAAAUCAACUUAUUUCUUGCUUGUUAGCACUACCUAUACAAUAGAAGAUUAAGCCUGAUUUUAUAUCAGGGAGAUUGUACAUCUCCAAAGCGUUCCAAUAUCUAUCAUUUCAGGUAGAGGCGCACAGUUUACAGCUAACUUCUAGCAAUUGAAUUUGAGUACAACUUUUCAUCCCUAGAUAGAUGGACAGGUCAAGCGAAUCAUAUGGAUGCUCGAGGUCAUGUUAAGGGCAUGUAUGUUAGAUUUCAAAGGUAGCUGGGAUGAACACUUACCGUUGAUAGAGUUUGCAUACCACAAUAGUUAUCAUUCCAUCAUAAAAAUGACACCUUAUGAAGCUUUGUAUGGGCGUAAGUGCAAAUCACCCAUAGGAUGGUUUGAAGUUUGUGAGUAUCAACUUAUAGGCCCAUAUAUGAUCCAACAAGAAGUGGAUAAGGUUAAGCUGAUUAGGGAGAGAUUGCUAGCAACCCAAAGUUGACAGAAUUCAUAUGCAGACAAUCGAUACUGAGAUCUAGAAGUCCAAGUUGAUGAUUAGGUGUUCCUGAAGGUGUCACCUAUGAAAGGUGUUAUAAGGUUCUGAAAAAAGGGAAAGCUUAGCCCUAGGUAUAUAUGUCCAUACCUGAUCAUCACACGAGCUGGUCGUGUAACAUACGAGUUGGACCUUCCAGCAGACCUUCAAGAGGUACAUCUAGUGUUUUAUGUCUCCAUGCUUCGGACGUGUAUUGGAGAUCCUUCUAGAGUAGUACUAGUUGAUGAUGUACAGAUCACCAAGCAAUUAACUUAUGAGGAGGUACUAGUUGCCAUUUUAGAUCAGCAGGUUCGUCGGUUGAGGACGAAGCAAUAAUGUGGAAGAGAUGACUUGGGAAGCUAAGAAGGAUAUGAGAGCCAUAUAUCCACACCUCUUCACUACUCCAUGUAUGUAAUGGAUCAUUGCUUAAUGCUUUUGUAUACCUCAGUCAAUAUUCAAGGACGAAUGUUCUUAAGAUUGGGAGAUUGUCACACCCCAUACAUAUGUGAUGUCGUAUAUUGUGUAAAUGAAUU